GGGUUGGACAAUGUGAUCGUUUUGUGGUGAAAAAAAAAAGCUUCUUAGUUGUUUCAUGUUUGCAAGCCUCAUUUUAUGAGUUGAAACCCGCUUAAGUUGGUGAAACAUAAAUUUAUAGCAUGGACAUUGAUAAAUUGAAAGAGUUCGUAGUGGGGUUGUUAUGUCCCAUUCUAUCCAUAUUUUCGACAGUAUGCUGCAUCAUUCAUUUGUACAAGUUUUUCAAGACUACUGGACCACAACAAAUGCCUUCUUUUUUCAAAAAUGCAACUCAACAUACACGAUAUGUCUCAUAAAUAGAGUACCUAUUCUAUCUCACUCCGCUAAAAACACUAUUCAAUCUAAGAAAGAAUCAAACCACUCACCUUUACAAAUACGUCCCAUGUAAUCAACCAUGGUAGACCACUCUUCCGAAUAUCCGGACGGGCAAGUAUCGACGCAUUGGCGAGUCUUGAUCACAAUUAAAUGGACACACUUUAAACAUCUAUAAGUAGACAAGCCGGCAGAAUUUUUCGUUGCAUUAGACAAGCUUCCGCCUUCCGAGCUGAUCACUGUUCC
Molecule: long non-coding RNA, 555 nt
Organism: Planococcus citri (citrus mealybug)
Lineage: Eukaryota; Metazoa; Arthropoda; Insecta; Hemiptera; Pseudococcidae
Exons: 2
Source: RefSeq, a predicted model, not a curated record